GCAGGUAAUAUUUCACAUAAGCAUCCUUGAUCCUGCACUCCUGCACACAUAAACAAUCAAACUCGAUAGUGGCCGCACUCAAUACAGCACAGCCCCCUCCCCUCCUUCUUCCAUUCUCGCUGGCAGCAUCUCCGCACGCCGCUUCACCCCCUCCCCCUCUCUCUCGCUGCGCUUGGGUUGCCGCACGCGAACGGAACGCCAGUGCUCCGCUGCGACCCCACACCGUCAUCCGCUCCCCAUCGAACGUGGUCAGUACCACCCCACCCCACACACACGCCACCCCCUUUCGCCCAUUUUCCUUUCGAUCACAACUUGCACGAGAGCACCAUGGCGGAGGCACAGGCUCGCAAGCGGACAGAGUCGCUGUCUAAGAUGUACUCCAAGAAGCCCAUCAGCGAAGGUUACGCGCUGUGGGACCGCGAGUACCUGCUCGCCGCCAUGCGCGUCUUCACGUUCAAGGCGGAGGGAGCGCCACCGUUUGUGCUGGCGCCCUAUCUCGACUCCGUGGCGGAAAUCACGCUGCAGAUGCAUGACCUCGAAGACGCCGCGGAGCAGUUCGCGAUUGCCGCCGGCAAGUACCAGCUGAUUGACCAGAAGGUGCUGGCAGAUCUCAUGCGCUUCAAGGUUACGGAGGUGUCGAGCAGUGCCGAGAUUGCGCUAGAGCAGGUGCAGGCGUACCUCGCAGCGCAGGACCCGCAGGGCAACGGCGGCGGCGAAAACUCGACGGCGCAGACCAAGUCUGCCUUCGCGCGCGUCUACGCGUACCUGGCGGACCUCUUGCUUGGGUCAGUGGAUGAGGAGCAGGCUAGCGAGGCGGUACUGGCGCAGGCGCUCACGGCGGCGGAGCUUGCCGUUCAGCUUGGCUGGGACCGUGAUCACUGUGGCUGGCUCAUCGUCGGCGACGUACACGCCGCCAGCGGCAACUACGAAAAGGCAAAAGAGGCGUACGGCAAGGCGCUCCAGAGGUGCCCGCACUACGCCAAGGCGUUGGAACGCCAGAUCGGCGUGGUGCAGCAGCUCGUCCGUGCCGCGGAGGAGUGCGGCGACGACGCCGGCAAGGCCACCCUCAACACGGAGCUCUUGAUGCUGCUGAGCCGCAGCAUCGAGGUGCACCCGCUGGCGAACACAUUCCGCGAGAAAGCAUUCUUGCUGAGUGAGAUGCAUGGGGAUGAUGCGGCACUGGCCUUUGUCGCCGAAACCCUCGAGCACCCGCCGCAGGAGGAGAUCGAAGUGAUCGGCAGCUCGGCGAAGGAGAUGACGUCGACGCUGCUGAAGGCGAAGGCGGCCAUCCUAGCAGACGGCAACCAGCUGGACGCGGCGCUCGAGGCAGCGACCAAGGCGCUGGAGGUGGACCCGAACGACGAGGAGGCCAAGUCGAUCAUACGCGACCUGCACGAGUCGAUGGCAGCGUAGCCGCGGUGCAUCGCGCCAGUUGCCCCUUCACAUGGUCUCCCCUCACGCCCCCUCUUUAGGAAGUCUGCCUUCUCGAGUCCGAAGCAGGUGCGGCCGCUUGAGGAUUCCUGCUGUUCACCACUGUCUUUGCUGACCGACGCACCCACGCAGAACCACCUCUAAGGUAGUCUCUUCAUUUGUAUUUUGGUUCCUCGCUUCCCCUUCCCUCUUUUGGUUGUACUCGUGGAUUCUUUUCCUGUGUGUUUCUGCGUGUGACUGUGUUGACCUCGUGGUGCGCUGUGUUCUUCUCCGCCCCCCGCCUGCCUCUGUCGCUCUGCCUGUGUGCGGCCGUCUCUGUGCGUGUGCGUGUAUUUCCUUGUGUCUUCGGCCAGUCUGUGCUGUGUGGGGAUGGUGAUGGUGCUUGAAAUGUGUGUCCUCCGUCCGUUUUCUGUGGCAACCCCCCUCGCGACCAUAGUCCUGCCUUUCCUGUCGCUCUCAAUCUCUUCUCUAGGUUUUUGCCUGUGUCUCUCAGUGGCUGUGCUUUAGGUGCUGUGCGUACGCGCGCGUGCGGUCGUCUGCCAUCGCUCAUGUCGACGCCCUGGCUAGCUCGCGCGGCGGAGAGGGAGGGGCGGGAGGCUUUGGUGUUCUCUCCCGCUCUCGCUAGCUCCGCCAGCCAUCCCCAACGACCGGACAAAUCGCCUCUGCCCUCCCGCUAAACACACACGCAGACGCAUACAGACGCAUACGUUUAUGCGUCUGUAUACACCACCGUCGUCGCUAUCCCUCAGGCGCACGCGGCACUCGCGCUGGUACACAAGCGCAGACAUACGCAUGUGGUGUAACGUCGCGUGCCUCUCCCCUUCGCGUGCAUGUGUGUGUGUGUGUGUGUGUGUGUGUGUGUGUGUGUGUUAUUGCUUCGUGUCUGUGUGCGGUGGAUGCUGCUGUGUCUUGCUUGAUGGUUUGGCGCUUGCACUUGUGCCUGUCUGGCUCACACACUCCCUCACCGCAGCACGGCCCCUUGUUCCUCCGUGUGUGUGUUUAUGUGUCUAUGUGGGUGUUUCUGUGUCUGUGUCUAUGUUUCGCCUCUUCAGAAACGGAAUAACACCGAGUGCGGUGAUCAGAAGCCGUGGCAUACCUUUUUACCCGGCCACCACCACCUUCCCUCCCCUCCUCCCUUCCCUCUCGCAUGCGCGGCGGCUAUGGCAUCUUGAUAGGCCACCGGAGAUAGCGUGGGUAAAGAGGGGCAGAAGGGAGGGAGAUGGGGUCACCUUUCUUAGGAGGCGGGGCGGGGCUCCAUUCUUGUGGGAUGGGGCCAUAUCAGAAGGGCCCUCUACGGUCCCGGAUGUGGUCCGGCUCUCCCUCUGAAGUUGUUGCUUUUCGUGAGCGUCGUCGUAAGCCCCUCAGUCGUUCACGGUGCAUGUGUUCAUUUGGUUGGCUGCCCGUGGUGCGCCUCUUCCACCACCAGCAGCACCAGCACCAGCACCCCCCCUUGCACACGCACAGAUAAGCGGAUACACACACGCACCCCUUCCAAGAAGAAAAACAGCUUUCUCUCUCACCGCGUCACCUCCGUACGUUCCCUCCCACUCCCUCCCUCCAUCACGCCACUCAAACGUAUCUACCCACACCCAUGCACGCAUGUGCAG
This 3038-nucleotide unclassified non-coding RNA is filed under the name Leishmania donovani. Its description in RNAcentral is "gene:LdHU3.04.0530(CDS-product:Tetratricopeptide_ repeat_putative)". Lineage: Eukaryota; Euglenozoa; Kinetoplastea; Trypanosomatida; Trypanosomatidae. The record is from RNAcentral.